CCCGGAUGUAAAUCACUUGUUUAGAGAAAGCCUGGCUUGAAUUUUGGCAGUGGAACCGGGUCUGGACCGGGCCGGGCCGAGCCGAGCCGAGCCAGGUUCUGCAUGGCACCUUCUCUGCAAAUCAGGCUAUGGAUCCAACAAUAUCAUCUUAAUCCAAAUCUCUCCUUCUGUUUUUCGUGGUGCUGGUUCGACUGAUGCCAGAGUGAUUCAGCCUAGUGAGCUGUGAUGGAUUUCCGGGGCAAAAAGUAUGAGCGUGGGAGUAACUGGUCAGACCCUGAGGUGGUUGAGCUGCUGCAGCUUUGGGCCGAUGAGUCUGUUCAGAUGGAACUGGAGAGUUGUCUGAGAAACCAGCAUGUCUUCAACAGGAUAGCUGAAGUCUUGAGGGAAAAGGGGAUCCACAGAACAGGAGACCAGUGCAGGGAGAAGAUCAAGAAAAUGAAACUUGAAUACAGAAGAAUUAAGGACAACAACAAAAUCUGUAGGGGUGGACGGACUUGGAAGUUCUUUGAAGUGAUGGAUAGAGUUUUGUCCAAUAGGCCAAAUAUUUGUUACAGUACUGUGGGUAGCACAGUGAUAACACAGCAGAUACCACCAGGUGUAUUGGCAGCAGGAGAUGGUUAUAUUCAUCAUCACCACCACCAUCAUCUUACUUCUCCACAUGGUAUUUCUCAUUCUCACCAUCCUCAGGAGCUAAUGGAUAUUAAAUGUGAGGAAGUAGACUCGGAUGAACGUAGUGAGACACCUGAACCACCACCACCAAUUGUACUUCCGCAAGCCGCGGAUGAUCAUGGGAUGGAUGGGAGCCUCUUGGAAGGGGGACAUCAUGAUGGGUCACCAGCCGCUAGGCCAGAUAGUCAUACGGAG
Molecule: long non-coding RNA, 864 nt
Organism: Rhincodon typus (whale shark)
Lineage: Eukaryota; Metazoa; Chordata; Chondrichthyes; Orectolobiformes; Rhincodontidae
Exons: 3
Source: RefSeq, a predicted model, not a curated record